AUGUUCACUUCAUUUCUCUUGCUGUUGCUGGCUGCUGUGUCUUGUAUUGACUGUCAGGUUGUGCUCACACAGUCUGAACAAUCUGAGUCAGUCAUCAUCAAACCUGGGAACAAUCAUAAACUGACCUGUACCUUCUCUGGGAUUGAUGUUGGAGCUGCAGAUAUUUCAUGGACAAGACAAGUUGAAGGAAAAGCGCUUGAGUGGAUCUCACAUAUUUCUUCUCCAAGUGGCAGCAGCCAGAGAUGUAUAGUAACGAAUACUUUAUACAUCUCUGGCAGCAGCAAAUAUUACUUUAAAACUGUUGAAGGACGAUUCACCAUCUCCAGAGACAACAGUAAAAUGCAGGUGUAUCUGCACAUGACAAAUCUGCAGACUGAAGACACUGCCGUUUAUUACUGUGCUCGAAAAAAAACAUGCAAACCCAAAACAUUUUACUCCAACUAUGAAUAA
Carassius gibelio (silver crucian carp) is the source of this 450-nucleotide non-coding RNA. Lineage: Eukaryota; Metazoa; Chordata; Actinopteri; Cypriniformes; Cyprinidae. The record is from the annotation of a RefSeq genome assembly.